This 244-nucleotide long non-coding RNA is filed under the name Gallus gallus (chicken). Lineage: Eukaryota; Metazoa; Chordata; Aves; Galliformes; Phasianidae. The record is from RNAcentral.
CAAAACAACAUGCUAUUUUGUCAAAUGUCACUGAGUCAUAUUCAGUUGUUUGAUAUGGAUGCUCAAGAUCCUUAGCAGCAGAAGAUCCAUAGGAAGUCUAUCUCUUGGCGGGGGAAGAGGGUUUACAGUGAUGCUUCGGAAAAAUCAUUUCUAUUUUUCUGAGUUCCAGCAAGUGUCCAUUCAAGUGCUCCUUGACCUCCAUGACAGUAGUUGUAACAUGGGACUUAGAGGUGGUCUGGUAUAA